RNAcentral lists this small RNA (148 nucleotides) under Pongo abelii (Sumatran orangutan). RNAcentral describes it as "Metazoan signal recognition particle RNA (ENSPPYG00000039058.1)". Lineage: Eukaryota; Metazoa; Chordata; Mammalia; Primates; Hominidae. The record is from Rfam by way of RNAcentral.
GCCGGGUGCCGUGGCGGGCGCCUGUAGUCCCAGCUACUCAGGAGGCUGAGGCAGGAGAAUGGCUUGAACCCGGGAGGCAGAGCUUGCAGUGAGCCGAGAUCGCACCACUGCACUCCAGCCUGGGUGACAGAGCAAGACUCUGUCUCAA